This 2231-nucleotide long non-coding RNA is filed under the name Mus musculus (house mouse). RNAcentral's name for it is "cDNA sequence BC037039". The record is from RNAcentral. Lineage: Eukaryota; Metazoa; Chordata; Mammalia; Rodentia; Muridae.
CUCAACAUAAACGUCGUAGGAGGAUUGGGACGACUGAGGAGGAUUGUCGUUGAUGUCGGACACUUGGACCUUCACUGUUGUAAGAGCUGAGAGAGAGGGGAUUCCCGAGUCUCGAGCUGUGAUGCUGAGAUUGUAUUCUGGCAUGGUCUCACGAUCCAGGGCUGCACUGGUUUUCAAAGUGAAGUAAUUCUUGAGGGAAGAAGUCAGGCUAAAGGGGAGACCGGGUGGAACCUCGCAGGUCACCAACCCGUUCUCUCCAGCAUCCAGAUCAGUCACACUGAGCAAAGCAAUGACAGUCCCCAGAGGAGCAUCCUCAGGGACAGGGCUGUAUACAGAGGUGACUGUGAUUUCCGGGGCAUUGUCAUUUACGUCUACAACCUCUACAAGUACUUUGCAAUGCGCUCCUUCGGGAUUGGCACCUUUGUCUUUGGCCUGGAUGUAAAUCUCAUGGAGUUUGGUGUCUUCGAAGUCCAGGCGACCCUUGAUUGUCAGCACCCCGGUUACGAGGUCUAAAGCGAAUAGUUCCCGCACCCCAGCACGAUUGUGGCUGCCGAAGGAGUAAACGAUUUCUCCGUUGAGGCCCUCAUCCAGGUCAGUUGCAAGAACCUGGGCGACGCGCGUGCCUGGGGGUGCAUCCUCCCGGACGCGCGCCCGAUACAAAGACUGAUUGAAGGCAGGCGCAUUGUCAUUCGCGUCCAGCACUGUGAUACGAAUUGGAAGGGUGGCGGAGCGAGCUGGGGUUCCUCCAUCCAGCGCGGUCAGUACCAACUGGACACUUGGCUCCCGUUCCCAAUCUAGGGCGCGCUCCAGGACCAGCUCCGCAUAUUUCGUGCCGUCUUCUCGAGUCUGCACGCGGAGCGCAAAGUACUCAUUGUGGCUCAGCUCAUAGGUUUGUAAAGAGUUGCUCCCCACAUCGGGAUCGUGCGCGCUCUCGAGCGGAAAGCGCGUCCCCGGCGCCAAGGCCUCGCUAAUCUCCAAUUUCAUUUCCCCGGUGGGGAAAGAGGGAUUGUUGUCGUUGAUGUCCUGGACCACCACUUCCGCGCUGAACAGCUCCAGCGGGUUCUCUACCACCAACUCCAGAGUUACAGUGCAGGAGGGCAGCGUCCCGCACAGCUCCUCUCGGUCCAGUCGAUCGUUGACGAACAUCUCUCCAGUCUCCCAGUUCACCUCAAAGAACCUACGGCUAGCUCCGGACACCACCCGGAGCCGGCGGGCCGACAGACUGCCGAGAUCCAAACCAAGAUCCGUGACCACGUUACCCACGGGGAACCCCCUCUCUCUCUCCUCCAGGAUCUCAUAGUGAAUGAUGGUGGAAGCCUCGGUUAAGGCAGCUAGCAGAAGCAAAACUCCCACCGUUCUCCAGGGGCUUACCAGUCCGCUGCUCCGGGCCUCUGCGACCAUCUCACUCAAAAGCAGCUCCUCUUGCCGGGGUCCAGGUGGUCCCGGAGGUCUGGCAGAGAAACUUUCAGCGGGUUAGCGCUUGGGCGCUGGGCGCCGAGUCCGACAUGGCUUUCUGGGCGCCGCUGAUUUGUUCGCCCGCUGUUCAGUCUCUGCCUCAUCCCGGGGCGCCGAAAGGGGACGGGCCCGGGCCAGAUCUCCAGCAUCUUCAUUGGCCGACAGCGGCACACAGAGUCCCAGCCAAUAACUGCACGAAGAAUGCGCUAGCGCCGGGUUCUUUGAGCAGGACACGCGCUCGCGCCAGGAACUUCACUUUGCUCUGGCUGCUUUCCAGAGUUUCCUGUCCAGCGCUCAGCCAGCGCCAGGGGAGCAAACUCAAUCUGCGGGCGGAUCUGCCCACCUCCCGCCCCAGCCAGGCCCAUUAAACACUUUAAUCGUUAUCUUUGAUCGCAAGAAAGGGGAACGAUCCAAGCCGAAUACAACACAGCGUCGACUGGCAAAACGAGAGCAAAUUGGGUCUGUUGGAGGGCAGAGGAAGCGGCGGACUCUGCGGGGAAGGAGGAAUGAGUAUUUCUGGGGAGAUUUAUAUUAUCACUUUUAUGGGCCGUGCGAUAUAUGUAGCUUACAGGUAGAUUCUGACUUUGAGUGUAUGAUGGUUUAUUCUCCAGCAUACGUCCGUCCCCUCCCCCAAACCCCACAGUUUUAUCUUUUUCCAAAUGGAGGCUAGAAUUCAUUACUUUCUCAGUAGAACAAAUCAAGAGUACUGCUAUCUGUUUGUCUUAACUCUGUUUUGAGAUUUUAAAAAUAAAAUUAAGAAAUUAAAUCCUUCAAAA